RNAcentral lists this ribosomal RNA (441 nucleotides) under uncultured bacterium. Its description in RNAcentral is "partial 16S ribosomal RNA". It matches the Rfam family "Bacterial small subunit ribosomal RNA", at positions 338 to 795 of the family's 1533-position model. The record is from RNAcentral.
CCUACGGGGUGCAGCAGUGGGGAAUAUUGCACAAUGGGGGAAACCCUGAUGCAGCGACGCCGCGUGAGUGAAGAAGUAUUUCGGUAUGUACAGCUCUAUCAGCAGGGAAGAAGAAAGACGGUACCUGACUAAGAAGCCACGGCUAACUACGUGCCAGCAGCCGCGGUAAUACGUAGGGGGCAAGCGUUAUCCGGUUUUACUGGGUGUAACGGGCGCGUAGACGGCUGUGCAAGUCUGAAGUGAAAGCCGAGGGCUCAACCCUGGGACUGCUUUGGAAACUGGGGAGCUAGAGUGCUGGAGAGGUAAGUGGAAUUCCUAGUGUAGCGGUGAAAUGCGUAGAUAUUAGGAGGAACACCAGUGGCGAAGGCGGCUUACUGGACAGUAACUGACGUUGAGGCUCGAAAGCGUGGGGAGCAAACAGGAUUAGAUACCCGAGUAGUC